Non-coding RNA from Phoenix dactylifera (date palm), 2924 nucleotides. NCBI's taxonomy places the organism in Eukaryota, Viridiplantae, Streptophyta, Magnoliopsida, Arecales, Arecaceae. The record is from RefSeq and is a predicted model, not a curated record.
UAAUUAUUAGUUUUCUUUCAUUUUUUUUAAGCUCAAUUAGUUAUUACUUUUUUUCUCUUUUUUUUAAGCAGAAUGAUUUACAGUUCUCUUCUUUUAUUAUGUUUUGUCUUGAUUCUUUUCAUAUUCAAUGAGUUUUGAGUUUACAUUGUUGAAUUUUGAUACUUAUGCAUUGUAUUGUACUAUGAGUACCGUAAAAUCUCUCUCUCUCUCUCUCUCUCUCUCUCUCUCUCUCUCUCUCUCUCUCUCUCUCUCUCUCUCUCGUGCACUGAUUUUUGCUGCAGUCAGUCAGAUGCUUAUUGUUUGAUUUGUUUUUCUUACUCAAGUUUCUCUCAGAUCACAAUGCCAAGGAAGUAUAUAAUUGGGAUAAUGUGAUCUUAUGCCUGAUGCAUUUUCUGUGUUCUGCUUGUCCAGAUCUUAUAUCUGAUUCAUUGAUCAUAUAAAGAAAUCAUAGGGACUUGCAGUUAUCUUCCUGUUCCACAAGUAGGAUUUGAUGACUAAAGCAUGCAUAGUGUCUUCGUAGAAAAUAAAGAAUUUGGGUCGUUAUAUUCUUAUUAUGGCAAACAAUUUAUAUCUAUUACAAAAAAGUAUAUGUUAAAGGAAGAAAAAGGGGCUUGACGAUUCUUUCUAUACCUUUUUUAUACUGUAAUGUGAAAAAUGCAGUAGAGUAGUAGACUAGUACAAAUAAAUAAAAACAGGGGUAGUUUAGAGAAGAUAUAGAUGUCUUAAUUUAAGAGAAUACAAAAUUAUUACAUGGGUAGGGUAAGAGAGAAGUACAAAGGUGAUGCAUGGAAGAAAAUUGAAAGGAGUGUUGGAGGGAAUAUUCCCUACCAAACUGAAAUCCAAUGCCAUUCAUAAUCUUUUCUUAUUCAAGUUAAAACACUAAACCAGGAAUUCCUUUCACUGAUGAUUACAAGUCACAUUAUUAUUAUUAUUAUUUAUUUAUUUAUUUAUUUAUUUUUUUGUGGGGGGGUAGAUUUAUCCACUUUGUGGUAGAUAUAAAUUUGCACUCUGCAUAAUGAUCUAAUCAUUGCUCAUUUUUGAAUAUGAUGAAAGCCAGAGAUGAGCUUAUUGCACUGACUUUGUGUCAUGUAUUAUUACUAAACAGGAUGAAUGAAUUUUAAUUGCUUUUUAUUUUGGAAACUCUGGGCAUUGGCAAAGACGUAUUUCCCUCGCUUCUGCCUACUAAGAUUUCUCGUAGAAGUACAACCUAUAAACAUGAAAUGAAGUAAAACUUGGUUGAAGAUGUUAAAACUAUAUAUGACGAGAUCUGGACAACAUACAACUUACAUACACUAAAAAUUAAGCGGGCAGAUGCUUUGAAUGUAAUAAUGCAAAUGGCCUACAUGGAUAUAGAAAUGCUGAACCUAACUAAUACGCCUGUCGUAAAUUUAGAUCUUAAAUUUUGUUCGAACAUACUCGGCACGGUUUAGCAGGCAAAAAACUGAAAUAAAUCAAAAUUUUCGCAUUGGCUUUGAUGCAAAUCAAGUUGCAUUCAUGUGGAGUUAAAUCUAUUCCUUCUGUAUCAAAGUGAAACUGAUUAUAUAUUCGUAUCAUUAAAUCCCAUUCAUAUUUUGUACAUUUCACAAUAUAGGUUCUUUAUCCUAAAUUCCUAAUUAUCAUAUUCUAAUCCUUUCUAUAUAGGUGAUUGAGUUUCAGUCUGGCUCUCUAGAUAAUUUUUUGUGCCUGAAGAUGUGCAUUCAGACACUUGAGCAAUAGGCAUGCAAUUUUAUGGUAGAAUAAUUUCAGUAGCACAGUAUGUCCUUUGAUUCCUCAUUUAGUUGGCAUGUAAAUUUCAAAAGUUGGCUCAGAGUCUAAAUACACUUGAACAACAGGCAUCUAUUCUACAUCAGCACAAUAAUUUCAGUAGCUGAGUAUGUAUUUUGAUUCCUUAGUUGACUUGGAAAUUUAUAAAGUUGGCUCAGAGUCUUAAUAUAGUUAGAAGCCAGUCUGCAAUCUUAGUUGGUCAAGUGCAAGCAGCAAUCAAAGAUAUGAUUUUUCAAAUAUCAUACAUGAUAAUUGAGGUAUAAAAUAAGAACUAUGAGUUAACUUAGUCGGCUCUUCAGUGCCUUUAGAACUAUGCAAAUCAGAAUCUAUUUGUGACUUUAACAUUUUAUUGAAGAGCUUUUAGAAUUAAAAGAAAAUUAUGGUUCGUCAUGUAGACCAUAUGAUGAUUCUGGCCAAGAUUUAUCUUGUUUAUGGUUGUUUUUCUUAUUUGUUUGAAGACUUGUGAGAUUCUAGUUUACUUGAGGGGAGGGACUUGUGUUACAUAUCUGGUUGCCCUUAGUCUAGUUAUAUACUCUUAAAUUCGAUAGAUAAACCAUGAAAUAAUAAUUGGAUUUUUGCAUAUAUAAAUAUAUCCUUGCAAAUAUAAGGUAUUUUAUAAUUACCCCUCAAAAAUCACUAUUUGCAUAUAUACCCCUCAAUUCAUACUGUUAUAUUUUUGGUUGAGAGUGUUAACAUUGAUUCUUUUUAAAUAUAAAUUGACUCCAUUACCUGUUUGCAUUAAUAUCAUUGAAAAAAUUCAAUAUUCAACUUCCCUUUUGAAGAGUUGUUUUUACAUGCAUUUUUUAGGGUACUGAUGCAAAAUAUAAUGAUUCUAUGCUUGAAAUAAUUACGAAUUAACACUGUCAGCCAAAAAUAUAAUGAUAAGUGACUGCUGCGAAAAACAGGAUAAAAUGAGGGUGUGUCUAUAUAUAUAUAAAUAGUAAAUUUUAAGGGGUAAAUGUGCAAUAUCCCAUGCAGGGAUAUAUAUGCAAAAACCCCAUUAGUGGAUACGUUUUCUAUCUCUUCAAUUUUACUCUGCUGUAUAUAAUUCAUUUCUAGUGUGCUUCUGCAACAACCUUGAACAUCACCAGUUGCAUUUUCUUUAAUCCAAAAUUUGCAUUCUUUUAGUGCUUAUUGAUUUUACUGGCAAACCUGGGCUU